GACGAACGCUGGCGGCGUGGAUUAGGCAUGCAAGUCGAACGGUAGGAUACCUUCGGGUAUCUGAGAGUGGCGAACGGGUGAGUAACACGUAGGUGAUCUACCCUCAAGAUUGGGACAACCCAGGGAAACUUGGGCUAAUACCGGAUGAAAGCAGCAGUGAUGUUGUUUGAAAGGUAGCGUAAGCUGCCGUUUGGGGAUGAGCCUGCGCUCUAUUAGUUAGUUGGCGGGGUAAAGGCCCACCAAGGCGAUGAUAGAUAGGCGGCCUUAACGGGUGGUCGCCCACACUGGGAUUGAGAUACGGCCCAGACUCCUACGGGAGGCAGCAGUCGAGAAUAGUCUACAAUGGCCGAAAGGCUGAUAGUGCGACGCCGCGUGAACGAAGAAGCCCUUCGGGUGUAAAGUUCUUUUAUAUGUGAGCAGUGCUUUCUAUGUGAACAGCAUGGGGAGAGAGAUAUUAGCAUAUGAAUAAGCAACGGCUAACUCCGUGCCAGC
Molecule: ribosomal RNA, 492 nt
Filed under: uncultured bacterium
Lineage: Bacteria
Description: bacterial SSU rRNA
Rfam family: Bacterial small subunit ribosomal RNA
Source: RNAcentral